This 435-nucleotide ribosomal RNA is filed under the name uncultured Oscillospiraceae bacterium. Its description in RNAcentral is "partial 16S ribosomal RNA". It matches the Rfam family "Bacterial small subunit ribosomal RNA", at positions 341 to 792 of the family's 1533-position model. Lineage: Bacteria; Bacillati; Bacillota; Clostridia; Eubacteriales; Oscillospiraceae. The record is from RNAcentral.
ACGGAAGGCAGCAGUGGGGAAUAUUGGGCAAUGGGGGAAACCCUGACCCAGCAACGCCGCGUGAAGGAAGAAGGCCUUCGGGUUGUAAACUUCUUUUACCAGGGACGAAGAAUGACGGUACCUGGAGCAAAAGCAACGGCUAACUACGUGCCAGCAGCCGCGGUAAUACGUAGGUUGCAAGCGUUGUCCGGAUUUACUGGGUGUAAAGGGCGUGUAGGCGGAGCUGCAAGUCAGAUGUGAAAUCCCGGGGCUCACCCCCGGAACUGCAUUUGAAACUGUAGCCCUUGAGUAUCGGAGAGGCAAGCGGAAUUCCUAGUGUAGCGGUGAAAUGCGUAGAUAUUAGGAGGGACACCAGUGGCGAAGGCGGCUUGCUGGACGACAACUGGCGUUGAGGCUCGAAAGCGUGGGGAGCAAACAGGAUUAGAUACCCUGGUA